UACGGGGGGUGCGAGCGUUGUCCGGAAUCACUGGGCGUAAAGGGCGCGUAGGUGGUUUGAUAAGGGUGUGGUGAAAGUCCGGGGCUCAACCCCGGAUCUGCCGUGCCGACUGUCAAACUCGAGGACUGUAGAGGCAGACGGAAUUCCGGGUGUAGCGGUGGAAUGCGUAGAGAUCCGGAGGAAGACCGGUGGCGAAGGCGGUCUGCUGGGCAGUUUCUGACGCUGAGGAGCGAAAGCGUGGGGAGCGAACAGG
This 253-nucleotide ribosomal RNA is filed under the name uncultured bacterium. RNAcentral's name for it is "partial 16S ribosomal RNA". It matches the Rfam family "Bacterial small subunit ribosomal RNA", at positions 524 to 776 of the family's 1533-position model. The record is from RNAcentral.